This 392-nucleotide ribosomal RNA is filed under the name uncultured bacterium. RNAcentral's name for it is "partial 16S ribosomal RNA". It matches the Rfam family "Bacterial small subunit ribosomal RNA", at positions 523 to 918 of the family's 1533-position model. The record is from RNAcentral.
AUACGUAUGUCGCAAGCGUUAUCCGGAUUUAUUGGGCGUAAAGCGCGUCUAGGCGGCUUAGUAAGUCUGAUGUGAAAAUGCGGGGCUCAACCCCGUAUUGCGUUGGAAACUGCUAAACUAGAGUACUGGAGAGGUAGGCGGAACUACAAGUGUAGAGGGGAAAUUCGUAGAUAUUUGUAGGAAUGCCGAUGGGGAAGCCAGCCUACUGGACAGAUACUGACGCUAAAGCGCGAAAGCGUGGGUAGCAAACAGGAUUAGAUACCCUGGUAAUCCACGCCGUAAACGAUGAUUACCAGGUGUUGGGGGUCGAACCUCAGCGCCCAAGCUAACGCGAUAAGUAAUCCGCCUGGGGAGUACGUACGCAAGUAUGAAACUUAAAGGAAUUGACGGGG